CCUUUUGUUGGUUUCUCACCAACCAGAGCUUUGAGUUUCAUCUAGCUUUGAGCUCCUCUUCUCCAUCUUUUCUGUUUGAUUUCAUCAUUAAAGAUUUAUUUUGCCGAUAAAAAAAAAAAUUUUAAAAAUGCGUCAAAUUUUGGGAUAAAAUGAUAUUUCGUCGGGCAAUUCGCAUAUGCAUCUGUUUUGUUAGUUAAUUUUGCCAUGGAAGAGAGCAAAGCGACAACAACCAAAGACAACAACAUUCCAUUGAUAGACCUGUCUCUGCUAAACUCUCCAAACAACUUUUCUUCAGCCGACUCCAUUGCAAGCCUAGCAGCCGAGAUAACCGAAGCCUGUGAGACCUGGGGUUGCUUCCAAGUCAUCAACCACGGCGUGCCGGUCGAGCAGAGCCGAGCAAUCGAGUCGGCGUCGAGGCAGUUCUUUGAUCAGCCGAAAGAAGAGAAGAAGAAAGUGUGGAGGUACGAGAGGAAUCCAUUGGGGUACCAUGAUUCGGAGAUUACGAUGAAUGUGAGGGACUGGAAAGAGGUGUUUGAUUUCACAGUCCAAAAUCCCACUCUCUUUCCAGCUUCCCCUGAUCCCCAUGACUUGGAACUGAGGGAGUUGGUUAAUCAGUGGCCCCAAUUUCCUCCUCAAUUUAGGGAGGUAUGUGAGGAAUAUGCUAAAGAAAUCGAAAAGCUGGGUUACCAAUUGUUGGAACUCUUGUCUCUAAGCUUAGGAUUGCCAAGACGAAGGUUGAAUCACUUCUUCAAAGACCAAACCAGCAUUGUUAGGUUCAACCACUACCCACCUUGCCCUAACCACCCUGGUCAAGUUCUUGGUGUUGGCCAGCACACUGAUUCCGGAGCCUUAUCCAUCUUGGCUCAAGAUGAUGUUGGAGGAUUGCAAGUGAAGCGAAAAUGGGAUGGAAAGUGGGUUCCUGUCAAACCCAACCCUCAUGCCUAUUUAGUUAUCAUUUGCGACAUUUUUCAGGUUUGGAGCAAUGACAAGUACGAGAGUGUGGUGCACAGGGCAACGGUGAACUCUGAAAAGGAAAGGAUUUCGAUUGUGUUCUUCUCCUACCCAGCACAUUACACCAUGGUUGAGCCUCUGGAGGAGCUAAUAAACGAUCGAAACCCUCCCAAAUACAGACCAUACAACUGGGGAAAGUUUUCUGCUGCCCGAAGGCGUAGUAAUUUCACAAAGAACAAUGUUGGAAGGAUCCAAAUCGAUCAUUUUAAGUUAUGAUCAAAUACAACCCAAUAAAUGGAGUGGAAGACUCCAGUGUUGGAGUAGAUGAAAUAGAGAAGCUCCAAUAAGAAUAGCAUACUUACCUGAAAGUUCAGAUGGUGUGACCAACUCUGAGGUUAAAUCAAUUGAUGGGUGUGCUAAUCCUUACUUGGUCAUGGCUUCUAUUACUGCUGCUGGAAUUGAUGGCCUUCGAAGAAAUCUUAUUCUGCCUGAACCCUGGGCAUCCAAUGUUGAUCUUGAAGAAAGUUAUAUGGUGCUUGUUUGUGCUGUUCAUGCUAGUAGAAAAUGUUCUACCACAGAGUGAUGCAGAAAUGUUAUUUAAUUAUGAAACAGAGAACCUUGGUACAGAGCUUCAAAGA
Non-coding RNA from Camellia sinensis, 1589 nucleotides. The record is from RefSeq and is a predicted model, not a curated record. NCBI's taxonomy places the organism in Eukaryota, Viridiplantae, Streptophyta, Magnoliopsida, Ericales, Theaceae.